Equus caballus (horse) is the source of this 351-nucleotide non-coding RNA. Lineage: Eukaryota; Metazoa; Chordata; Mammalia; Perissodactyla; Equidae. The record is from RefSeq and is a predicted model, not a curated record.
GAUCUGUGCUCUGUCAAUGAUCCUGUAGAGGCACAGAAACACUAGGAUUUGUCCUCAAGCCAUUUACCCUGUGCAGAUACACUUCUAGGUUUGGACAGAAGCUUUGAUCUUCAUUGGGACCCUUGCUCUGUCGAACCAGCUUCUCUAGAAGUAGGACGUUCUCAUCUCUCUUGAGAGUCUCCAUCUCAAGAAUGUGCAACGCUUCUACAAAGAUCAUUGUACUUUCUGGAUUUUGAACAUGUAUUUGAAAGAUGCCUACCCAAACCUUGAAAAUAUGGAGAAAGGAAUUUAAAAAGCAACCAGAAAGUUGUGUUAAUGUUUCCAGUAUUUAAAUGCUAUUUAUGGUUUCCU